UACGUAGGGUGCAAGAGUUGUCCGGAAUUAUUGGGCGUAAAGAGCUCGUAGGCGGUUUGUCGCGUCUGCUGUGAAAACCCGAGGCUCAACCUCGGGCCUGCCGUGGGUACGGGCAGACUAGAGUGCGGUAGGGGAGAUUGGAAUUCCUGGUGUAGCGGUGGAAUGCGCAGAUAUCAGGAGGAACACCAAUGGCGAAGGCAGGUCUCUGGGCCACUACUGACGCUGAGAAGCGAAAGCAUAGGGAGCGAACAGG
This 253-nucleotide ribosomal RNA is filed under the name uncultured bacterium. Its description in RNAcentral is "partial 16S ribosomal RNA". It matches the Rfam family "Bacterial small subunit ribosomal RNA", at positions 524 to 776 of the family's 1533-position model. The record is from RNAcentral.